AUUGAACGCUGGCGGCAGGCCUAACACAUGCAAGUCGAGCGGAUGAAGGGAGCUUGCUCCUGGAUUCAGCGGCGGACGGGUGAGUAAUGCCUAGGAAUCUGCCUGGUAGUGGGGGAUAACGUCCGGAAACGGGCGCUAAUACCGCAUACGUCCUGAGGGAGGAAGUGGGGAUCUUCGGACCUCACGCUAUCAGAUGAGCCUAGGUCGGAUUAGCUAGUUGGUGGGGUAAAGGCCUACCAAGGCGACGAUCCGUAACUGGUCUGAGAGGAUGAUCAGUCACACUGGAACUGAGACACGGUCCAGACUCCUACGGGAGGCAGCAGUGGGGAAUAUUGGACAAUGGGCGAAAGCCUGAUCCAGCCAUGCCGCGUGUGUGAAGAAGGUCUUCGGAUUGUAAAGCACUUUAAGUUGGGAGGAAGGGCAGUAAGUUAAUACCUUGCUGUUUUGACGUUACCAACAGAAUAAGCACCGGCUAACUUCGUG
This 483-nucleotide ribosomal RNA is filed under the name uncultured bacterium. Its description in RNAcentral is "partial 16S ribosomal RNA". It matches the Rfam family "Bacterial small subunit ribosomal RNA", at positions 30 to 507 of the family's 1533-position model. The record is from RNAcentral.